AAUCUGCCUUUUGGUUUGGAAUAACACGAGGAAACUUGUGCUAAUACCGGAUAAGCCCUUACGGGGAAAGUUUUAACGCCGAAAGAUGAGCCUGCACUUGAUUAGCUAGUUGGUAAGGUAAAGGCUUACCAGGGCAACGAUCAAUAGCUGUUCUUAGAGGAAGACCAGCCACAUUGGGACUGAGACACGGCCCAGACUCCUACGGGAGGCAGCAGUGGGGAAUCUUGCACAAUGGGGGAAACCCUGAUGCAGCGAUGCCGCGUGAGUGAAGAAGGCCCUUGGGUUGUAAAACUCUUUCGUCGGGGAAGAAAAUGACUGUACCCGAAUAAGAAGGUCCGGCUAACUUCGUGCCAGCAGCCGCGGUAAUACGAAGGGACCUAGCGUAGUUCGGAAUUACUGGGCUUAAAGAGCUCGUAGGUGGUUAAAAAAGUUGAUGGUGAAAUCCCAAGGCUCAACCUUGGAACUGCCAUCAAAACUUUUUAGCUAGAGUGUGAUAGAGGUAAGUGGAAUUUCUAGUGUAGAGGUGAAAUUCUUAGAUAUUAGAAAGAACACCAAAUGCGAAGGCAACUUACUGGGUCAUUACUGACACUGAGGAGCGAAAGCAUGGGUAGCGUAAAGGAUUAGAUACCCUCCGUAUCCAUGCCGUAAACGAUGUGUGC
Molecule: ribosomal RNA, 659 nt
Filed under: uncultured marine bacterium
Lineage: Bacteria
Description: bacterial SSU rRNA
Rfam family: Bacterial small subunit ribosomal RNA
Source: RNAcentral